Molecule: non-coding RNA, 74 nt
Organism: Ciona savignyi (Pacific transparent sea squirt)
Lineage: Eukaryota; Metazoa; Chordata; Ascidiacea; Phlebobranchia; Cionidae
Source: Rfam
GUCUCUGUGGCGCAAUGGAUUAGCGCUCUGGACUUCUAAUCCAGAGGUUCCGGGUUCGAGUCCCGGCAGGGAUG